UAGUUUAUAAGAUUAGAGAAGACGAAAAAGGCAAAAAUUAGAGAAGCAAGAAUAAGCAGCGUCCAUGGAGAACGGUGAAAUUCCUGAAAACGCCAACGAAAAUUGCCCUGGUACUCAAUCAGAAUUAGCCGGAAAAUCAGAUGCUUGCCAAGGAUGCCCUAACCAAGAAGCUUGUGCUUCUGCCCCUAAAGGCCCUGACCCUGACUUGGUUGCAAUUGCUGAACGGAUGGCUACAGUGAAGCAUAAAAUAUUGAUUUUAUCAGGUAAAGGUGGAGUUGGCAAGAGUACAUUUUCUGCCCAACUCUCAUUUGCACUAGCGUCUAUGGACUUUCAGGUUGGUCUCUUGGACAUUGAUAUUUGUGGACCAAGCAUUCCUAAGAUGCUUGGCCUAGAAGGUCAAGACAUUCACCAGAGUAACCUUGGGUGGUCUCCUGUGUAUGUUGAGUCAAACCUUGGGGUUAUGUCAAUUGGGUUCAUGCUCCCUAACCCUGAUGAAGCUGUUAUAUGGAGGGGCCCCCGCAAGAAUGGGCUUAUAAAGCAAUUUCUAAAGGAUGUGUACUGGGGAGAGCUUGAUUUUCUAGUGGUUGAUGCCCCACCCGGGACCUCAGAUGAGCAUAUCUCAAUUGUCCAGUUCCUUCAGGCUACUGGAAUAGAUGGUGCAAUUAUUGUCACUACUCCACAACAGGUCUCUCUAAUUGAUGUGCGUAAAGAAGUGAGUUUCUGUAAGAAAGUUGGAGUGGAGGUCCUUGGGGUUGUCGAGAAUAUGAGUGGCUUGUGUCAACCAUUGACAGAUUUCAGGUUUAUGAAGUUGACUGAGACUGGUGAACAACAAGACGUCACAGAAAAGGUUUUGGAAUAUAUGAGAGAGAAAGCUCCAGAGAUGCUAGGCUUGAUUGCUUCUAGUGAGGUAUUUGAUAGCAGUGGUGGUGGUGCAGCACCAAUGUGCAGAGAGAUGGGUGUGCCUUUUCUUGGGAAGGUACCAUUGGAUCCACAGCUUUGCAAGGCAGCUGAAGAAGGGAGGUCCUGCUUUGCUGAUCAGAACUGUGGAGUAAGCGCUCCUGCACUGAAGAAUAUUAUUGAAAAAUUACUGGCGGCAAAACAGUGGAAUUAGAAAAUGCAGUCUGCAGCAGAUUAGCAAAAGAUGA
Molecule: unclassified non-coding RNA, 1145 nt
Filed under: Hevea brasiliensis (rubber tree)
Lineage: Eukaryota; Viridiplantae; Streptophyta; Magnoliopsida; Malpighiales; Euphorbiaceae
Source: RNAcentral